UGCAUACUUAAUAUGUGCUCUGAAGUCAUUUCUUUGGUUUUAAGAUGUUUUCCGGUAGAUAAAGAGUACAUUUUCUUAGCAAGAAGAAAUCUGUUUUCAUUCUAAUAGUUAGAGCAAUGAUUACAUCUUAUAGGAGGAGAAUGGAGGCCCCUACAAGGCAUCAAUUCCAUUGAUUCAGGCCACAAGCCCAGAAGCAGAUGUUUUACUUGCUUAUGAGAUGAAUGGAGAGAUACUUAGGUAGCAGGGUUGUGAAAAGAGUGCCCGAGUGUUAAGAGUUCUGUCUUUGUAAAUUUCCUUCUUUAGUUUUGAUGUUUUGGUGCCACUGGGCAUUAUCCCUUGCUGUAAGGGUUUUGAUCAUGUUUCUAUAUAGUUCAACUCUUGUAUAUAUGUAUUAUUGUAUAUAUGUAAUAUGUUUCUUUGGAGUGGUUUAGA
Long non-coding RNA from Rosa chinensis, 432 nucleotides. RefSeq lists it as uncharacterized. The record is from RefSeq and is a predicted model, not a curated record. The transcript is spliced from 2 exons. NCBI's taxonomy places the organism in Eukaryota, Viridiplantae, Streptophyta, Magnoliopsida, Rosales, Rosaceae.